RNAcentral lists this ribosomal RNA (301 nucleotides) under uncultured bacterium. RNAcentral's name for it is "partial 16S ribosomal RNA". It matches the Rfam family "Bacterial small subunit ribosomal RNA", at positions 509 to 807 of the family's 1533-position model. The record is from RNAcentral.
CAGCAGCCGCGGUAAUACGUAGGUGGCAAGCGUUGUCCGGAAUUAUUGGGCGUAAAGGGCUCGCAGGCGGUUUCUUAAGUCUGAUGUGAAAGCCCCCGGCUCAACCGGGGAGGGUCAUUGGAAACUGGGAAACUUGAGUGCAGAAGAGGAGAGUGGAAUUCCACGUGUAGCGGUGAAAUGCGUAGAGAUGUGGAGGAACACCAGUGGCGAAGGCGACUCUCUGGUCUGUAACUGACGCUGAGGAGCGAAAGCGUGGGGAGCGAGCAGGAUUAGAUACCCGCGUAGUCCCUGUCUCUUAUAC